UGCAUGGUGGUGCAGUUGGUAGCACUGUUGCCUUGUAUCAAGAAGGUACCGGGUUCGACUCCCAGCCGGGGGUCUUUCUGCAU
Non-coding RNA from Ataeniobius toweri, 83 nucleotides. The record is from the annotation of a GenBank genome assembly. NCBI's taxonomy places the organism in Eukaryota, Metazoa, Chordata, Actinopteri, Cyprinodontiformes, Goodeidae.